ACGAACGCUGGCGGCGUGCCUAAUACAUGCAAGUCGAACGGUCUUUCUAUGGGAGCUUGCUUCCACUGAGAAGAUAGUGGCGAACGGGUGAGUAACACGUGGGUAACCUGCCCAUAAGAGGGGGAUAACAUCCGGAAACGGGUGCUAAUACCGCAUAGUUUUCUUGAUUGCAUGAUUGAGAAAGGAAAGACGGCCUUUGUGCUGUCGCUUAUGGAUGGACCCGCGGCGUAUUAGUUAGUUGGUGAGGUAACGGCUCACCAAGACGAUGAUACGUAGCCGACCUGAGAGGGUGAUCGGCCACAUUGGGACUGAGACACGGCCCAAACUCCUACGGGAGGCAGCAGUAGGGAAUCUUCCGCAAUGGACGAAAGUCUGACGGAGCAACGCCGCGUGAGUGAAGAAAGGUUUUCGGAUCGUAAAACUCUGUUGUCAGAGAAGAACAAGUUGGAGAGUAACUGCUCCAGCCUUGACGGUAUCUGACCAGAAAGCCACGGCUAACUACGUGCCAGCCGCUGC
This 516-nucleotide ribosomal RNA is filed under the name uncultured bacterium. Its description in RNAcentral is "bacterial SSU rRNA". It matches the Rfam family "Bacterial small subunit ribosomal RNA", at positions 29 to 518 of the family's 1533-position model. The record is from RNAcentral.